UACGGAGGGGGCGAGCGUUGAUCGGAAUAACUGGGCGUAAAGGGCACGCAGGCGGCUUUUUAAGUCAGAUGUGAAAUCCCCGGGCUUAACCUCGGAAUUGCAUUUCAGACUGGGAGGCUAGAGUACUUUAGGGGGGGGUAGAAUUCCACGUGUAGCGGUGAAAUGCGUAGAGAUGUGGAGGAAUACCGGAGGCGAAGGCGGC
This 202-nucleotide ribosomal RNA is filed under the name uncultured bacterium. Its description in RNAcentral is "partial 16S ribosomal RNA". It matches the Rfam family "Bacterial small subunit ribosomal RNA", at positions 524 to 725 of the family's 1533-position model. The record is from RNAcentral.